GUGGACAUAAAAGAUAUUCUAAAUAAGAAACUCGGAGAGGCCAAUGAACUUGUUGGAGGUCACACAGCCAAUAAGUGGCAGAACUGGAUCUUUGGCCAAGUCUGUUGAACUUUUACCAUAUUGAAAGACCAGAGGCCCCAGGUUAGGAAGCCCUAAAUCCAAUGAUGAGUGUCCUUCAAAGAGAAGAAAGGAAAGGAGACACACAGAGGGCGAGGCCACGUGAAGACGGAG
This is a long non-coding RNA of Choloepus didactylus (southern two-toed sloth), 231 nucleotides long. RefSeq lists it as uncharacterized. Lineage: Eukaryota; Metazoa; Chordata; Mammalia; Pilosa; Megalonychidae. The record is from RefSeq and is a predicted model, not a curated record. The transcript is spliced from 3 exons.